AACGAACGCUGGCGGCAUGCCUAACACAUGCAAGUCGAACGAGACCUUCGGGUCUAGUGGCGCACGGGUGCGUAACGCGUGGGAACCUGCCCUUAGGUUCGGAAUAACUCCCCGAAAGGGGUGCUAAUACCGGAUAAUGUCUUCGGACCAAAGAUUUAUCGCCUUUGGAUGGGCCCGCGUUGGAUUAGCUAGUUGGUAGGGUAAAAGCCUACCAAGGCGACGAUCCAUAGCUGGUCUGAGAGGAUGAUCAGGCACACUGGGACUGAGACACGGCCCAGACUCCUACGGGAGGCAGCAGUGGGGUAUAUUGGACAAUGGGCGAAAGCCUGAUCAAGCAAUGCCGCGUGAGUGAUGCAGGCCUUAGGGUUGUAAAGCUCUUUUACACGGGAUGAGAAUGACAGUAACGGGAGAAUAAGCUCCGGCUAACUCCGUG
Molecule: ribosomal RNA, 433 nt
Filed under: uncultured bacterium
Lineage: Bacteria
Description: partial 16S ribosomal RNA
Rfam family: Bacterial small subunit ribosomal RNA
Source: RNAcentral